GACGAACGCUGGCGGCGUGGAUUAGGCAUGCAAGUCGAACGGUAUCAUCCUUUCGGGGGUGAGAGAGUGGCGAACUGGUGAGUAACACGUAGGUUAUCUACCCUCAAGACGGGGACAACCCAGGGAAACUUGGGCUAAUACCGGAUGUGAGCAACUUUUAGUUGUUUGAAAGGUGGCGUAAGCUGUCGCUUGGGGAUGAGCCUGCGUCCUAUUAGUUAGUUGGUGAGGUAACGGCUCACCUAGGCAAUGAUAGGUAGGCGGCCUUAACGGGUGGUCGCCCACACUGGGAUUGAGAUACGGCCCAGACUCCUACGGGAGGCAGCAGUCGAGAAUAGUCUACAAUGGUCGGAAGACUGAUAGUGCGACGCCGCGUGAACGAUGAAUCCCUUCGGGGUGUAAAGUUCUUUUAUAUGUGAGCAGUGCUUCUUAUAUUAACAGUAUGGGGAGAGAGAUAUUAGCAUAUGAAUAAGCAACGGCUAACUCCGUGCCAGCAGCCGCGGUAAACUCU
Molecule: ribosomal RNA, 508 nt
Filed under: uncultured bacterium
Lineage: Bacteria
Description: bacterial SSU rRNA
Rfam family: Bacterial small subunit ribosomal RNA
Source: RNAcentral